Molecule: ribosomal RNA, 1527 nt
Filed under: Echinobothrium cf. rhynchobati 1 FPLM-2013
Lineage: Eukaryota; Metazoa; Platyhelminthes; Cestoda; Diphyllidea; Echinobothriidae
Description: SSU rRNA
Rfam family: Eukaryotic small subunit ribosomal RNA
Source: RNAcentral
AGGCGCGCAAAUUACCCACUCCCAGCACGGGGAGGUGGUGACGAAAAAUACCGAUGCGGGACUCUUCAUGAGGCUCCGUAAUCGGAAUGAGUGAGAUUUAAAUCCUUUUACAAGGAUCAAUUGGAGGGCAAGUCUGGUGCCAGCAGCCGCGGUAACUCCAGCUCCAAUAGCGUAUAUUAAAGUUGUUGCAGUUAAAAAGCUCGUAGUUGGAUCUCGGUCGCAUUGUUGCCUGCCAUCGCUUGGCUUGUGAGGCAGAGUUGUGUGCUUUGCACUGGCUUUGUCAUGCUGGUCGAGUUGGCUUGGUGGCGGUGUAGCCUUUUAGCCAUGUCUGUGGUGAAAUACCCAUAGGUGUAGGCGAGUGUCAGGCGGUGCCUUGCAAUAGUAGGGUCUGUCGGCUUGUCUGCAUGCCUUUGGAUGCCCUUCAAAAGGUGUCUGUGGGCAGAUGGCACGUUUACUUUGAACAAAUUUGAGUGCUCAAAUCAGGCCGAUGUUGCCUGAAAAGUUUUGCAUGGAAUAAUGGAAUAGGACUUCGGUUCUAUUUUGUUGGUUUUCGGAUCCGAAGUAAUGAUCAAAAGAGACAGGCGGGGACGUUUGUAUGGUUGCGCUAGAGGUGAAAUUCAUGGACCGUAGCCAGACAAACUAAAGCGAAAGCAUUCGUCAAGCAUGUUUUCAUUGACCAUGAGCGAAAGUCAGAGGCUCGAAGACGAUCAGAUACCGUCCUAGUUCUGACCAUAAACUAUGCCAACUGACGAUCCGUGAUGGUAGUAUUUUAACCUUCCACACGGGCAGUCCCCGGAAAACCUUUAAGUCUUUGGGUUCCGGGGGAAGUAUGGUUGCAAAGCUGAAACUUAAAGGAAUUGACGGAAGGGCACCACCAGGAGUGGAGCCUGCGGCUUAAUUUGACUCAACACGGGAAAACUCACCCGGGCCGGACACUAUGAGGAUUGACAGAUUGACAGCUCUUUCAUGAUUUGGUGGUUGGUGGUGCAUGGCCGUUCUUAGUUGGUGGAGCGAUUUGUCUGGUUAAUUCCGAUAACGAACGAGACUCUAGCUUGCUAAUUAGUGUGCUUGUCCACUGUGCCUGUGUAGGUGGCGUUUCUACGAUUCUGCUCUAUCAAAGUGGCUUGCUGGAAGCGUGCGGUGGUUAUGCUGCUGUGUGUGGAAAGCUUGUCGCUGGAGUGGAUGGUUAGGCGUUGCUUCCGGGUGCGGCGCGAGCAUUUUACUUCUUAGAAGGACAAACGGCAGAAUCCGCACGAAAUUGAGCAAUAACAGGUCUGUGAUGCCCUUAGAUGUCCGGGGCCGCACGCGCGCUACAAUGACGAUGGCAACGAGUCUGACCUUCUGGCCCGAAAGGGUUGGACAAACUGGUCAAUCAUCGUCAUGACAGGGAUUGGGGCUUGUAAUUGUUCCCCAUGAACGAGGAAUUCCUAGUAAGUGCAAGUCAUAAGCUUGCGCUGAUUACGUCCCUGCCCUUUGUACACACCGCCCGUCGCUACUACCGAUUGAAUGGUUUAGUAAGGUCAUUGG